This 448-nucleotide ribosomal RNA is filed under the name uncultured bacterium. RNAcentral's name for it is "bacterial SSU rRNA". It matches the Rfam family "Bacterial small subunit ribosomal RNA", at positions 329 to 793 of the family's 1533-position model. The record is from RNAcentral.
GUCCAGACUCCUACGGGAGGCAGCAGUGGGGAAUAUUGGACAAUGGGGGGAACCCUGAUCCAGCGACGCCGCGUGAGUGAAGAAGUAUUUCGGUAUGUAAAGCCCUAUCGGCAGGGAAGAAGGAGGACGGUACCUGACUAAGAAGCCCCGGCUAACUACGUGCCAGCAGCCGCGGUAAUACGUAGGGGGCAAGCGUUAUCCGGAUUUACUGGGUGUAAAGGGGGCGCAGACGGCAGCGCAAGCCAGGAGUGAAAGCCCGGGGCCCAACCCCGGGACUGCUCUUGGAACUGCGCGGCUGGAGUGCAGGAGGGGCAGGCGGAAUUCCUGGUGUAGCGGUGAAAUGCGUAGAUAUUAGGAGGAACACCAGUGGCGAAGGCGGCUUACUGGACUGUAACUGACGUUGAGGCUCGAAAGCGUGGGGAGCAAACAGGAUUAGAUACCCCAGUAC